Molecule: ribosomal RNA, 1254 nt
Filed under: Triticum aestivum (bread wheat)
Lineage: Eukaryota; Viridiplantae; Streptophyta; Magnoliopsida; Poales; Poaceae
Description: partial small subunit ribosomal RNA
Source: RNAcentral
AUGGCCAAGCUAAUUUGGAAGAAAAACCCAGCGACCCUAUUGCAGCCGUGGGAUCAUCAUCUGUUCAUGUUGCUACUGCUACUGAACUGGGCAUCAGUCGACAUGCGUCCUUUGAAUUUCAAUGAGCGACCUCAAGCUGGCACCGAUAACGACGAAGGUGUAAUUAGCUGGAUGUGGGAUUGCCCAGCUAUUCCUACUCCAACGGCCCAAGACUUGUAUGUUCACUUACAAGAUAAUCAGGGGAUGAAGAGGGGAUUACUGCAGCAACAACAGAGCAACAUCGAAGGAAUUAAUAUUAGUGCUGAUUCACCCUCUCGUUUUGUAUUUAACAAUGCUCGCAUGCUUCACGUGCAUGAUAGCUCUUCCAUCACAUGCCCACAAGGUUCAUACUGGAGGAGCCUUGAAUGGUGCCGAGUCGAGAGGUGCCCCAAGCUGCGUACUAUCUUUCGUACUGCCCAACAAAGUGAGGGUGAUAGCUUCUGUCAUCAGUUGAGCACAUUCUGGGCAUCUCAACUCCUGAAGGCACGCUACAUCUGGUAUUGGAGUGCAAUGCGUGUGUUUUCCUCUGUAAACAUAGUACUGUUGCACCUGGACUAUUGCCCUAGGCUCAUACAUGUGCUUCCCUUGUCCGAGUCAGUGGACACUUUGCCUUGCUUGGAUAUCCUGGAAAUUUUGUGUUGCGGAGAUCUUAGGGAGGUCUUCGCUUUGGACCCUAAGCAAAAGGAGCAGAAAGUUAUACAGUUUCCCAAGCUAAGGUGCAUCCACCUGUAUGAGCUUCCCAGCCUGCGGUGCAUUUGUGGGGGCAGGAUGUCAGCGCCCAAUUUGAAGACUGUCAAGAUAAGGGGCUGCUGGAACCUCAGGUGCCUUCCCGCUGUCAGCGGAAACAAAGAGAAGCUUCCUAGUGUUGAUUGCGAGAAGGAAUGGUGGGAUAACCUUGAGUGGGAUGGGGUGGAGGCGAACCACCACUCUUCACUCUAUGAGCAUAGCCACUCGUCAUACUACAAGGCCCAGCUGCCAAGAGGCACAGUUUUAAGUGCCAGCCAACAUAAUUUACUGUCCAAUCUACACUAUUCUAGUUCUGAUAGUAAUCAGUUCCUGUGGGUCGAUCUCUACGCGAGCACCGAUCCUAUCAUCCCGUGGUGCUUCCUGGACAUCAGAUGUCUUUGCUGCGAUGUGGAGCACCUCUGCAACAGUGUGGAUCUGCAUUGCCAUGGUGUGGUGGUGCAUCCACCAGUUUGGUUUGAUUUGAUUUGA